CUGCUAACUAAACUUGGACGAGAGAUUAUGACAAAAAACUUUAUCACCAACUUUCAUGAUGAUCCAAUGUUUUGAAAUAUAGAGCAAACAUAAUGUCAGAUGCAAACCACUAACAGCCGCCAUAUUUUUACCCAUAGUAUUUUUAAGGUCACAAUAUACCAAAAGAUUUCCUUAACAAAUUCAAUGUGAAACCGACAACUUCAACGAAAAAUAAAUGUCAAACUUUUGCGCGUAGACACCCCCAUACCCAUACCUUUUCUUAAAGAGCAU
Molecule: long non-coding RNA, 270 nt
Organism: Dreissena polymorpha
Lineage: Eukaryota; Metazoa; Mollusca; Bivalvia; Myida; Dreissenidae
Exons: 2
Source: RefSeq, a predicted model, not a curated record